UACGAAGGGGGCUAGCGUUGCUCGGAAUCACUGGGCGUAAAGGGCGCGUAGGCGGAUCUUUAAGUCGGGGGUGAAAGCCCAGGGCUCGACCCUGGAAUUGCCUUCGAUACUGAAGAUCUCGAGACCGGAAGAGGUAAGUGGAACUGCGAGUGUAGAGGUGAAAUUCGUAGAUAUUCGCAAGAACACCAGUGGCGAAGGCGGCUUACUGGUCCGGUUCUGACGCUGAGGCGCGAAAGCGUGGGGAGCAAACAGG
RNAcentral lists this ribosomal RNA (253 nucleotides) under uncultured bacterium. Its description in RNAcentral is "partial 16S ribosomal RNA". It matches the Rfam family "Bacterial small subunit ribosomal RNA", at positions 524 to 776 of the family's 1533-position model. The record is from RNAcentral.